GGGGGCAGCAGUGGGGAAUUUUGGACAAUGGGCGCAAGCCUGAUCCAGCCAUGCCGCGUGCGGGAAGAAGGCCUUCGGGUUGUAAACCGCUUUUGUCAGGGAAGAAACGCUAUGGGCUAAUACCCUGUGGUAAUGACGGUACCUGAAGAAUAAGCACCGGCUAACUACGUGCCAGCAGCCGCGGUAAUACGUAGGGUGCAAGCGUUAAUCGGAAUUACUGGGCGUAAAGCGUGCGCAGGCGGUCUUGCAAGACAGAUGUGAAAUCCCCGGGCUUAACCUGGGAACUGCAUUUGUGACUGCAAGGCUAGAGUACGGUAGAGGGGGAUGGAAUUCCGCGUGUAGCAGUGAAAUGCGUAGAUAUGCGGAGGAACACCGAUGGCGAAGGCAAUCCCCUGGACCUGUACUGACGCUCAUGCACGAAAGCGUGGGGAGCAAACAGGAUUAGAUACCCUGGUAGUCCACGCCCUAAACGAUGUCAACUGGUUGUUGGGAAGGUUCCUUCUCAGUAACGUAGCUAACGCGUGAAGUUGACCGCCUGGGAGACGCCCGAC
Molecule: ribosomal RNA, 551 nt
Filed under: Burkholderiales bacterium VC16
Lineage: Bacteria; Pseudomonadati; Pseudomonadota; Betaproteobacteria; Burkholderiales
Description: bacterial SSU rRNA
Rfam family: Bacterial small subunit ribosomal RNA
Source: RNAcentral